Molecule: ribosomal RNA, 241 nt
Filed under: Staphylococcus aureus
Lineage: Bacteria; Bacillati; Bacillota; Bacilli; Caryophanales; Staphylococcaceae
Description: partial 23S ribosomal RNA
Rfam family: Bacterial large subunit ribosomal RNA
Source: RNAcentral
GAUUAAGUUAUUAAGGGCGCACGGUGGAUGCCUUGGCACUAGAAGCCGAUGAAGGACGUUACUAACGACGAUAUGCUUUGGGGAGCUGUAAGUAAGCUUUGAUCCAGAGAUUUCCGAAUGGGGAAACCCAGCAUGAGUUAUGUCAUGUUAUCGAUAUGUGAAUACAUAGCAUAUCAGAAGGCACACCCGGAGAACUGAAACAUCUUAGUACCCGGAGGAAGAAAAAGAAAAUUCGAUUCCC